AUAUAUAUCUGGCAGGGGAGAUACCAUGAUCACGAAGGUGGUUUUCCCAGGGUGAGGCUCAUCCAUUGCACUCCGGGUGUGCUGACCCCUGCGAUUUCCCCAAAUGUGAGAAACUCGACUGCACAUAUAUAUUAUUUGUAUUAUAUAUAUAAUUUCAAA
Small nuclear RNA from Pogona vitticeps (central bearded dragon), 159 nucleotides. Its record names the gene U1. It matches the Rfam family "U1 spliceosomal RNA". From Rfam's summary of the family: U1 is a small nuclear RNA (snRNA) component of the spliceosome (involved in pre-mRNA splicing). Its 5' end forms complementary base pairs with the 5' splice junction, thus defining the 5' donor site of an intron. Lineage: Eukaryota; Metazoa; Chordata; Lepidosauria; Squamata; Agamidae. The record is from Ensembl.